UACGGAAGGGGCAAGCGUUGUUCGGAAUCAUUGGGCGUAAAGGGCGCGUAGGCGGUCUCGUAUGUCUGCUGUGAAAGUACACGGCUCAACCGUGGAGGGUCGGCGGAAACUGCGAGACUUGAGGCUGGGAGGGGCUGGUGGAAUUCCCUGUGUAGCGGUGAAAUGCGUAGAUAUAGGGGAGAACACUCGUGGCGAAGGCGGCCAGCUGGACCAGUCCUGACGCUGAGGCGCGACAGCGUGGGGAGCAAACAGG
Molecule: unclassified non-coding RNA, 253 nt
Filed under: uncultured bacterium
Lineage: Bacteria
Description: contains 16S-23S intergenic spacer region
Rfam family: Bacterial small subunit ribosomal RNA
Source: RNAcentral